This 636-nucleotide long non-coding RNA is filed under the name Pogona vitticeps (central bearded dragon). Its description in RNAcentral is "lncRNA (ENSPVIG00000024293.1)". Lineage: Eukaryota; Metazoa; Chordata; Lepidosauria; Squamata; Agamidae. The record is from RNAcentral.
CAAUAGGUGGGAGGGGAGGAGGAAGACGAAGGGUGGGGUGGGCUACCCCGCCUUCCCCCGUCCAAUAUUUGCCACCGGGACGCGGCGGGCUCUGCGAACAACUCCCGGAGCAGCUGUUUCCCGUCGCCGGACUCGAGCCGAGGAAGCCCGCGCAGCCCCGGCACCCAGGGCGCCCCGAUGAGGAACACGCUCUUAAACCUCCAUAUCCUCAAGACGAAACCAACAAUCAUCUUUAUCAUUGGCAUCAUGGGAGUUGGAAUAGGUAGCGGACUCCUCUGCUGCUUGAAGUAUGCCAUGUUCAACCCCGAAAUAAGGAGUGCACAACUUGUGGCCCUUGAGAUGGUGUUGGACUACAAUUCCCAUCAUCGCCUGCCACUGUCUAUGUGGAUGGGAAUUGAGACCCAAGACCUGCUAGAGGAACACACAUCUGACUUGGGUCCCUAAUACUAUGUUUAUUAUGAGUUUUAAUAUAUUUGUUUAAUGCUCUUUUAAAAUACUGCACUGAUUUAUUAUUUGACUCUUAACUUUGUUUCUUUUCAUACCACAAGUUGCCUUGCAUCCUUUGGGAGAAAGGUGGCAUAUUAAUAUUUUCAAUGGAUAAAUAAAAUAAGCGUUGUUCCUCUUGAUGUUUGUGUC